GGAUUGUAGCUCAGUGGUAGAGCUCUUGCCUUAUAAGCAUGAGGCACUGGGUUCAGUCCUCAGCACCA
Molecule: transfer RNA, 68 nt
Filed under: Marmota monax (woodchuck)
Lineage: Eukaryota; Metazoa; Chordata; Mammalia; Rodentia; Sciuridae
Description: tRNA.Ile
Rfam family: tRNA (bases 5-65)
About the family: Transfer RNA (tRNA) molecules are approximately 80 nucleotides in length. Their secondary structure includes four short double-helical elements and three loops (D, anti-codon, and T loops).
Source: RNAcentral